Molecule: non-coding RNA, 29 nt
Filed under: Cricetulus griseus (Chinese hamster)
Lineage: Eukaryota; Metazoa; Chordata; Mammalia; Rodentia; Cricetidae
Source: RNAcentral
GUAAAGUAGAGGUAGGACAUCACAUGUGU